UUGCAUAUUGAUUGGUAGUUGCUUUUAAGCAUUGUUGUUUUCUUUGAAUUGGUAUUAAUGAAAUGUUUAUGCAUCUUUUGAAUUAAUCCAUUCGUAUUCACUCGUUUUUCAUUUAUGUUAAAAAAACAAAAAAAAUACUUCUCUCAUUCACUCUUGUUUAUCAAACUAUUGUGUUAACAAAGAUUGGAAGGAGGAUGAUGAAAACGAAACACCUAAUUGUUAUGGUAUGCUUUUGAAGAAAACCU
This 245-nucleotide long non-coding RNA is filed under the name Lathyrus oleraceus (garden pea). RNAcentral's name for it is "Pisum sativum (pea) long non-coding RNA (PSAT_LNC037584)". The record is from RNAcentral. Lineage: Eukaryota; Viridiplantae; Streptophyta; Magnoliopsida; Fabales; Fabaceae.